GUUGAUUGACUCAAGACCGAGUCGGAUGGCAUAGUUGGCUAAGGUAAAGUAACCUUAGGAAAGAAAGGCUAAUGUGUAUAAUAUUAUUAAGGUGUGAGUACCCUUAGUAAAGCGUAAAGAAUAAAGAAUAAAGAAUCAAGAAUAAGGAAAGGCUAAUGCUAAAGAAUGACAAGUAAUAAAGAAUAAAGAAAGGUUAAUGCUAAAGAAUAGCUAGUAAAGUAAAGAAUGAGUAAAAGUAAAGAAUGGAUAAGAAUAAAGUGUAGAAGCAAUUAAUCUACUAUAUGAGUUGCAUAAUUUGCAUAUUGCAUGUUGUGAGGCAAAAGCAUGGUAAUGUUAGUUGCAUGAUUUAUGAUUUCAUAUCUAUCUAUUGGACUAACAUGUUGUUUGCCUCCUUUGGACCUGAUGGUGGAGCUCUUUCCUUUGGUGGCCGUACCCACUGGGAACUAUGGAGUUAGUUCUCACCCCACGUUGUUUUGGGGUGUUACAGGUUCACACGUGAGCGGCGCGGCGGGACGAGGCAAGGGCGUAGCUCCAUAUAUAGCGCCCUACCACAGAGACCAGAGGUAGUAGUACCCCAAGUCGGCAUAGGCUAGAGAAAAAUGAAAGAACAAGAUGUAUAAAACUUGUAGUAAAUUUGUAAUAAUUGGAUUGUAUUUGGAAGUUGAAUGUAAAAGAAUGUAAUUUGUAAUGUAAAAUAUAAUAUGUGAGAUGAAUGCUUGUAAUAGCAAGUAGAAUUAUGUUUUGAUACUUCCUUAUGCAAUCUUUGGUUGAAUGUGUUCCUGGUUGGAACUUCGUACAUUGUAUUGAUUGCGACGC
Molecule: long non-coding RNA, 816 nt
Filed under: Ananas comosus (pineapple)
Lineage: Eukaryota; Viridiplantae; Streptophyta; Magnoliopsida; Poales; Bromeliaceae
Description: long non-coding RNA (ACOM_LNC005184)
Source: RNAcentral